UGUUCCUUUGUUUUUUAGUGUUACACUUUUGAGUGUAAGUGUAAGAAAUUCUAUGGACAUUUGAGUGUAAAAUGACAGCGGAUGUGACAGCGGCUCAUGACAGCGGACAGUAUUAAACGAAAAUUAUCGGUGUGCCAAUCAAGCAAAGGAACAAGGAACUUCCGAAUAUGGCCUAACUGGGGGCACAUAACAUAACCUAAUCCUAAUAUUUACAUUUGUAAAGAAUAUCCUGUUUGUUUUUAUUGUCGAUUGUGCAGCGAAAUUGUGAUAGCAAAUCAAAUAUAAAGUAGUUUAUCGCCUACAGAACUGAAUUAGUCCAUAGCAUAGCAGUUAUCAGUUUUUCUUUCUUGGGAAGCUUAUACAUGUAACUUUUAUUGUUGUAAAUUGUGGGAGUAGGGCAGACAGGGAAAAGUCUUAUUUUGUACUGUUCCCAAGGCUCCCCAUGCAAUACAUUUAAAUGAAUUAUCCAAACAAAGCCGGGGACAAUGGAUAAAAGCCACAAGAAGAACAGAUAUAAGGGAACUAAAAUUAAAAUAUGAAAAGUAAACAUUUUAUAAGUGGAACAACCACCAGAUAUUUAAAAGGUAUAAAAAGAAGAAACUGCUGGAAUUUCAAAACAAAUGUGUUUGACUAGUAAAGAUUUGGAUAAAUAACAGGAGUUACUUUGGGCUAUAGCUACGUGCAGAUUUAUUUCCUUGUGGCUUCCUAUGUUAAUUCUUAUUAAUUAUACACUUAAAUAUGUUUUUAGUCUCAGGAAGAUUUUAUAUUUGAUUAUUUUUGAAUAAACAUUAUUAUUAUUAUUACCUUAAUUUCCAUUAAAUAAAUUUACUGUAAUCAAUAAAGUAAUCGUUUAAUUGUUAAUAAAUUAUCAAGUAUGAUUCCCAAA
Long non-coding RNA from Diabrotica virgifera virgifera (western corn rootworm), 886 nucleotides. RefSeq lists it as uncharacterized. Lineage: Eukaryota; Metazoa; Arthropoda; Insecta; Coleoptera; Chrysomelidae. The record is from RefSeq and is a predicted model, not a curated record. The transcript is spliced from 2 exons.